RNAcentral lists this non-coding RNA (58 nucleotides) under unclassified sequences. Its description in RNAcentral is "pemK RNA". It matches the Rfam family "pemK RNA". The record is from RNAcentral.
ACAAUGAUACUUCCCUAGGGGGCUGGCGUAGUACCCGGCAGAGGUGAAAUUCCUAUGA